RNAcentral lists this ribozyme (183 nucleotides) under Anopheles gambiae (African malaria mosquito). Its description in RNAcentral is "drz-agam-2-2 ribozyme". It matches the Rfam family "drz-agam-2-2 ribozyme". The record is from Rfam by way of RNAcentral. Lineage: Eukaryota; Metazoa; Arthropoda; Insecta; Diptera; Culicidae.
AUCAUGGGAACUGACCAAUAAAUCGUGGGAAACCCUGUAAUACAGGCUCUCCCAUCCAACUCCUAUUCCGACACGUCCUCGUCGUGCAGAGUGGUAACAUGUGUCACCACAUAUCCAAGCUUGGGUACACGGGCUUGACCCAACCCCUUGGGCGGAUGGUGGCACAUGGCGAACCAGGAGGGG